AUUGAACGCUGGCGGCAUGCUUUACACAUGCAAGUCGAACGGAAGCGCGGGCUUCGGCCUGGCGGCGAGUGGCGAACGGGUGAGUAAUGCAUCGGAACGUGCCCAGUAGUGGGGGAUAGCCCGGCGAAAGCCGGAUUAAUACAGCAUACGACAUGAGGGUGAAAGCGGGGGACCGAAAGGCCUCGCGCUAUUGGAGCGGCCGAUGACGGAUUAGCUAGUUGGUGGGGUAAAGGCUUACCAAGGCGACGAUCCGUAGCUGGUCUGAGAGGACGACCAGCCACACUGGGACUGAGACACGGCCCAGACUCCUACGGGAGGCAGCAGUGGGGAAUUUUGGACAAUGGGGGCAACCCUGAUCCAGCCAUGCCGCGUGCGGGAAGAAGGCCUUCGGGUUGUAAACCGCUUUUGUUCGGGAAGAAAUCCUCUGGGCUAAUACCCCGGGGGGAUGACGGUACCGGAAGAAUAAGCACCGGCUAACUACGUG
Molecule: ribosomal RNA, 484 nt
Filed under: uncultured bacterium
Lineage: Bacteria
Description: partial 16S ribosomal RNA
Rfam family: Bacterial small subunit ribosomal RNA
Source: RNAcentral